Molecule: ribosomal RNA, 490 nt
Filed under: uncultured bacterium
Lineage: Bacteria
Description: partial 16S ribosomal RNA
Rfam family: Bacterial small subunit ribosomal RNA
Source: RNAcentral
AUUGAACGCUGGCGGCAGGCCUAACACAUGCAAGUCGAACGGUAACAGGAAGCAGCUUGCUGCUUCGCUGACGAGUGGCGGACGGGUGAGUAAUGUCUGGGAAGCUGCCUGAUGGAGGGGGAUAACUACUGGAAACGGUAGCUAAUACCGCAUAAUGUCGCAAGACCAAAGAGGGGGACCUUCGGGCCUCUUGCCAUCGGAUGUGCCCAGAUGGGAUUAGCUUGUUGGGGGGGUAACGGCUCACCAAGGCGACGAUCCCUAGCUGGUCUGAGAGGAUGAGCGGCCACACUGGAACGGGACCAGGGUCCAGACUCCUACGGGAGGCAGCAGUGGGGAAUAUUGCACAAUGGGCGCAAGCCUGAUGCAGCCAUGCCGCGUGUAUGAAGAAGGCCUUCGGGUUGUAAAGUCCUUUCAGCGGGGAGGAAGGGAGUAAAGUUAAUACCUUGGCUCAUUGACGUUACCCGCAGAAGAAGCACCGGCUAACUCCGUG